RNAcentral lists this signal recognition particle RNA (88 nucleotides) under Bradyrhizobium sp. YR681. RNAcentral's name for it is "Bacterial signal recognition particle RNA". It matches the Rfam family "Bacterial small signal recognition particle RNA". From Rfam's summary of the family: The signal recognition particle (SRP) is a universally conserved ribonucleoprotein involved in the co-translational targeting of proteins to membranes. Archaeal SRP consists of a 7S RNA and homologues of the eukaryotic SRP19 and SRP54 proteins. Lineage: Bacteria; Pseudomonadati; Pseudomonadota; Alphaproteobacteria; Hyphomicrobiales; Nitrobacteraceae. The record is from RNAcentral.
AGACGUGUGCUCUGAGCCACUCGCCAACCGGGUCAGGUCCGGAAGGAAGCAGCCCUAACGAGGUCCGGAUCGGGUCGCUCGUCAGUCU